Non-coding RNA from Ciona intestinalis (vase tunicate), 281 nucleotides. NCBI's taxonomy places the organism in Eukaryota, Metazoa, Chordata, Ascidiacea, Phlebobranchia, Cionidae. The record is from RefSeq and is a predicted model, not a curated record.
GUCGGACAGUGGUAACUAGGUGCAGUUGUACAGGUUAAGUUUGGUUUGGACGUUCAAGGGUGAAGCGUUUCAACAGCAAUGAAAGAAACCGCGUUGCCACGUACAGCAGAAUGGAGAUAUGGGCAAACCAUGAGGGACAUACAACAUGCUAGAAGAAAAAGGGAAGCAGAGAGGGCGAUGCUGUUUAUGGGACAUCCUUACGCUAUGCGAAAGAAGUUACUGCGAGGAUCGACUCGUUUGAAGGAAGAACGGCGGGAAAUCAAGGACAAAAAAACCGCGGA